UUGAAAGAGGCGCGGCGUCCAUCAGUAGCCUCCCGCAACGUCAGGCACGGCGGGAGGGGGAAAGGGGCCGCCGCCGAAGCGCCGCGAUUCCGCCUGGGGAAACGGCGCUGGGGCCGGGGAGAAGAUCUCCGGCACUGUCACGGUCAACCGUGGAGCGCUGUCG
This 163-nucleotide non-coding RNA is filed under the name bovine gut metagenome. RNAcentral describes it as "Lysine riboswitch". It matches the Rfam family "Lysine riboswitch aptamer". From Rfam's summary of the family: Riboswitches are metabolite binding domains within certain messenger RNAs that serve as precision sensors for their corresponding targets. Allosteric rearrangement of mRNA structure is mediated by ligand binding, and this results in modulation of gene expression. The record is from RNAcentral.